ACUUGUUAAAUAUUCCCCAGAGCAAUGAAAUCACAGGUCUCAGUGGCCUACCAGCCUGUUACCGUCCUCAGAAGCAGCCAAGUAAAAGUGGCUUCUGUUUGUUCCUGCUUCUAUCUUCUCCUAAUCACUCUAUACCAUUUCACACCUGUAACUUUUCUGACAAAAUCGCUACCCACAGCAGAAUCAUCCAAGAUGUGGCUCCUGUCCUGUCUCAUGGGCUGCCACUGAUGUGUGCCAUCCAUUCUGAUCGCUGAGCUCAUGUUGUCUCUGACAAGAAUAUGAGCUGGAAAAACACUGUAGGUUUAUUGUCAAGCCCAUAUGUAAUUUGAAACUGAAAACCUCAGUCUUUGAUCUGCAAACUGAGCUAAUCUGCCAUGGAAAUGUCCAGACAAGAGUAAAUUUUACUUCAGAAUAUUAUUUCCAUUAAUUUUUUUAUCUGCACUUUUAAAUGUAUUUAAGUAUUUCCUCUUUCUGUGUUACAACAAGUGCUGAUUUGCUGACUUUUAGAUGACUCUGGAGAAGUGUACGCGAGGAGUUUGGAACAGACCCCACUGAGCUCGCUCAGAUCACCAACCACAGGAUCUGGUCCAGUGGCUCCAGCUGUAUUUCACUUGUCUAAGAGUAUAAGAUGGAAACAACUUUAACCACCAUGGAUUUUAAAAUCCACUUUCCCUAUAAAAAGAUCAUCCAGUGGUUGAAAAGACGGAAGUCACCUCAGAACCAGCAAACCUCACAUAGUUUAAUUCAGCAAACUAGACAGGAGAACAAAGAGUAAAAUACUGUUUUCAUAUAUCUAAGGUGUCUCUUUCUUCAAUUUACAGAAAGUUUAAACUACCUGUGUCAAAAAUGUCCUAGCUGGAAAACAUAUUAUGGCUCUUCCAGUAGCAAUGAAUUGGGAAUAAGUGAUGUCAUUUGCUUGUUUCAGAUCCUAAAGAAGGUCAACAUCUCUACUGAAGCCCUGGCAUUACUGGCUAUCCACUCUGUGUGACUGUGACUUUGGAAAAAUGGACAGAGAGCUAAAUUCAGAAGACUGGAGGAAGAGUAGACAUCCAAACUUAAAGAUGGUUUCCAAAAGGAUAAGGUGCAAGAUGACUAAGAAGAAAACAUAGGAAACCCCCAGCACGAAAUAUUGAUGAAGUGUAUCUAGUGUGGUCUUUUUGCUUGUCUCUCACUUUAUAUUUCAAAAUAAUUCAGUAGAAAGUUAUACCUAUCUGGAAUCUGGGGUUUAUAGUUAUGGCAAUGAAAUGUUCUACUUGAAGAAAUUUAUUUUUUCCCUUAAUGGAUAUUACAUUUCAUCACUAAUGGGAUCUGCCUCUGUUCCUUUACACAUACCUGCUGCCUCCUGGUUGAAGAUGCCUGUUCAAAAGAUAACCACAUUUCAGUCAUAGACCUAGUGGUGAGGAAAACUGGUCUUUCAAUGUUAACAGUUGUAUGAAUACUAAUGAAACACAGCUGCUCUGCCAUUUUUAUGUUAACUUGCAUCCAUAAUAAUAUUUUAUAGACAUUUCCUGAAAGUUACAGUAGCGGGUGUAUGCUAGCCACAAAGAGACUAAUCAUUCUAGUUACCCCACACCAGUUAACAUUUGCAAACCCUGACUUCUAGAAGGCACAGUUUGAAAGUAUUGAUACAUUCAUUGCCCUCAACUGACUUGAUUGAGGGAACGGAAAUCUGUUGACAUCUAGCAGCCCCUAAAGUAUUUCAGCAAACCUACUUUUGUUUUUGCUUUUGCAUUUGUGGCUUUACAUGUGUUACUGAGCAUUGCUUCUGCUAUGAAGUUAUCAGUGGUCAAUGGCAGAUGUGUGGACUGAGUCACCGUCAGCUCUUGCAUUCAACAGCUGUGUGUUCACUAGUUUUUGCACAUCACUUCAAACUCAGAAAUGAAAAUUACAAACUGGAACACAACUUUGGAAAAUCACCAGCCCAUGAUUUAAUAUGCAAGUUGCCACCAUGCUAAGGUGCUCUGUAGUUUCAUGUUUCAAGGAUUCAAGGUUUAUGCCUUGAGUCAGGAGACCUGUCCCUUUCAAAACUGUGGUUAGUUUUCUCUAAUGUGUUAUAAAUGUCUAAUUCGAGCCUUGUAUCCUGCUGUGCUCUUUGUCUGAAUGCUCCAUUUGAAAGUGGAGUUCAUGGAUUUAAUUUUCACUGUGAAAAUUAUACUCUUUUUUAUCAUUUUGCAGUUCAUUCAAUUCAAUUCAGUUUAAUGUUCAUAAAGUAACUACCCUACCCAUGUUGAUAUCAAAAGAAAAUGUGAUGAGAACUUAUUGCUAUAUCUUCAUUUAGCCAUUCGUUAAUUCCUGUACUUGUAUCUCUUUUCUCCUUCCUUAGCAUUCCUCAAAAGCCAUUGUGUUUUUUCUCAACUGACUUCAUGAGAAACUGUGAGGUUCUCAUGGUGCUGUUGGGAAAUGUAUAUUGUAGAAGCUCAUUCAAGUGAUUUAUGCAAUUAGGAAAAUGUACAAG
Molecule: non-coding RNA, 2455 nt
Organism: Phalacrocorax carbo (great cormorant)
Lineage: Eukaryota; Metazoa; Chordata; Aves; Suliformes; Phalacrocoracidae
Source: RefSeq, a predicted model, not a curated record